AGCGGGACAGUAGCCAUGCAGGCAAAUCCGUGUGGCAAUACGAAGGCGUGACGCGGACCGAAAUAAAGUAGGGAAGCAUGUGAGCCAUGUGCCAAGAAAAGCCGCUAUAGAUCAUAUCGUACCCGUACCGUAAACCGACACAGGUAGAUGAGGAGAGAAUCCUAAGGCCGACGGGAGAAGCAUUGUUAAGGAACUCGGCAAAAUGACCCCGUAACUUCGGGAGAAGGGGUGCCCACGCGAGUGGGCCGCAGAGAAUAGGCUCAAGCAACUGUUUAGCAAAAACACAGGUCUAUGCGAAACCGAAAGGUGAGGUAUAUGGGCUGACGCCUGCCCGGUGCUGGAAGGUUAAGAGGAGGAGUCAGGCAACGAAGCUCCGAAUUUAAGCCCCAGUAAACGGCGGCCGUAACAAUAACGGUCCUAAGGUAGCGAAAUUCCUUGUCGGGUAAGUUCCGACCCGCACGAAAGGCGUAAUGAUUUGAGCACUUCUCGACAAUGCACCCGGUGAAAUUGAAGUACCAGUGAAGAUGCUGGUUACCUGCGCCAGGACGGAAAGACCCCAUGGAGCUUUACUCCAGUUUGAUACUGGGAUUCGAUACUGAAUGUACAGGAUAGGUGGGAGGCUGAGAAGCGUGGACGCCAGUCUGCGGUGAGCCGCUGUUGGGAUACCACCCUUUGAGUAUUGGAUUUCUAACCUGCGCCCGUGACCCGGGCGGGGGACAAUGUCUGACGGGGAGUUUGACUGGGGCGGUCGCCUCCGAAAGGGUAUCGGAGGCGCUCAAAGGUUCCCUCAGAAUGGUUGGAAACCAUUCGCAGAGUGCAAAGGCAGAAGGGAGCUUGACUGUGACACCGACGGGUGGAGCAGGUACGAAAGUAGGACUUAGUGAUCCGGUGGUAUGAAAGUGGGAUUGCCAUCGCUCAACGGAUAAAAGCUACCCUGGGAUAACAGGCUUAUCACUCCCAAGAGUUCACAUCGACGGAGUGGUUUGGCACCUCGAUGUCGGCUCAUCGCAUCCUGGGGCUGUAGCAGGUCCCAAGGGUUGGGCUGUUCGCCCAUUAAAGCGGUACGCGAGCUGGGUUCAGAACGUCGUGAGACAGUUCGGUCCCUAUCCGGCGCAGGCGUAGGAUAUUUGAGAGGAGCUGUCCUUAGUACGAGAGGACCGGGAUGGACAGACCGCUGGUGUAUCUGUUGGUGACCAACACCAUGGCAGAGUAGCCAAGUCUGGCAGGGAUAAACGCUGAAGGCAUCUAAGCGUGAAGCCCCCCUCAAGAUGAGAUAUCCCAAUAAGUAAGACCCCUUAGAGAGUAUGAGGUAGAUAGGCUUAAGGUGUAAGCAUAGUAAUAUGUUCAGCUGAUAAGUACUAAUAGGUCGAGGGCUUAUC
This 1379-nucleotide ribosomal RNA is filed under the name metagenome. RNAcentral describes it as "bacterial LSU rRNA". It matches the Rfam family "Bacterial large subunit ribosomal RNA", at positions 1515 to 2925 of the family's 2925-position model. The record is from RNAcentral.